RNAcentral lists this ribosomal RNA (253 nucleotides) under uncultured bacterium. RNAcentral's name for it is "partial 16S ribosomal RNA". It matches the Rfam family "Bacterial small subunit ribosomal RNA", at positions 524 to 776 of the family's 1533-position model. The record is from RNAcentral.
UACAGAGGGUGCAAACGUUGUUCGGAAUUACUGGGCGUAAAGCGCGUGUAGGCGGCUAUGCAAGUCGGAUGUGAAAGCCCUCGGCUCAACCGGGGAAGUGCACCCGAAACUGCAAAGCUAGAGUCUCGGAGAGGAUCGUGGAAUUCUCGGUGUAGAGGUGAAAUUCGUAGAUAUUCGGAAGAACACCAGUGGCGAAGGCGGCUCACUGGACUGGCAUUGACGCUGAGGUGCGAAAGCGUGGGGAGCAAACAGG